Molecule: ribosomal RNA, 1541 nt
Filed under: Escherichia coli
Lineage: Bacteria; Pseudomonadati; Pseudomonadota; Gammaproteobacteria; Enterobacterales; Enterobacteriaceae
Description: bacterial SSU rRNA
Rfam family: Bacterial small subunit ribosomal RNA
Source: RNAcentral
AAAUUGAAGAGUUUGAUCAUGGCUCAGAUUGAACGCUGGCGGCAGGCCUAACACAUGCAAGUCGAACGGUAACAGGAAGAAGCUUGCUUCUUUGCUGACGAGUGGCGGACGGGUGAGUAAUGUCUGGGAAACUGCCUGAUGGAGGGGGAUAACUACUGGAAACGGUAGCUAAUACCGCAUAACGUCGCAAGACCAAAGAGGGGGACCUUCGGGCCUCUUGCCAUCGGAUGUGCCCAGAUGGGAUUAGCUAGUAGGUGGGGUAACGGCUCACCUAGGCGACGAUCCCUAGCUGGUCUGAGAGGAUGACCAGCCACACUGGAACUGAGACACGGUCCAGACUCCUACGGGAGGCAGCAGUGGGGAAUAUUGCACAAUGGGCGCAAGCCUGAUGCAGCCAUGCCGCGUGUAUGAAGAAGGCCUUCGGGUUGUAAAGUACUUUCAGCGGGGAGGAAGGGAGUAAAGUUAAUACCUUUGCUCAUUGACGUUACCCGCAGAAGAAGCACCGGCUAACUCCGUGCCAGCAGCCGCGGUAAUACGGAGGGUGCAAGCGUUAAUCGGAAUUACUGGGCGUAAAGCGCACGCAGGCGGUUUGUUAAGUCAGAUGUGAAAUCCCCGGGCUCAACCUGGGAACUGCAUCUGAUACUGGCAAGCUUGAGUCUCGUAGAGGGGGUAGAAUUCCAGGUGUAGCGGUGAAAUGCGUAGAGAUCUGGAGGAAUACCGGUGGCGAAGGCGGCCCCCUGGACGAAGACUGACGCUCAGGUGCGAAAGCGUGGGGAGCAAACAGGAUUAGAUACCCUGGUAGUCCACGCCGUAAACGAUGUCGACUUGGAGGUUGUGCCCUUGAGGCGUGGCUUCCGGAGCUAACGCGUUAAGUCGACCGCCUGGGGAGUACGGCCGCAAGGUUAAAACUCAAAUGAAUUGACGGGGGCCCGCACAAGCGGUGGAGCAUGUGGUUUAAUUCGAUGCAACGCGAAGAACCUUACCUGGUCUUGACAUCCACAGAACUUUCCAGAGAUGGAUUGGUGCCUUCGGGAACUGUGAGACAGGUGCUGCAUGGCUGUCGUCAGCUCGUGUUGUGAAAUGUUGGGUUAAGUCCCGCAACGAGCGCAACCCUUAUCCUUUGUUGCCAGCGGUCCGGCCGGGAACUCAAAGGAGACUGCCAGUGAUAAACUGGAGGAAGGUGGGGAUGACGUCAAGUCAUCAUGGCCCUCACGACCAGGGCUACACACGUGCUACAAUGGCGCAUACAAAGAGAAGCGACCUCGCGAGAGCAAGCGGACCUCAUAAAGUGCGUCGUAGUCCGGAUUGGAGUCUGCAACUCGACUCCAUGAAGUCGGAAUCGCUAGUAAUCGUGGAUCAGAAUGCCACGGUGAAUACGUUCCCGGGCCUUGUACACACCGCCCGUCACACCAUGGGAGUGGGUUGCAAAAGAAGUAGGUAGCUUAACCUUCGGGAGGGCGCUUACCACUUUGUGAUUCAUGACUGGGGUGAAGUCGUAACAAGGUAACCGUAGGGGAACCUGCGGUUGGAUCACCUCCUUA